This 274-nucleotide ribosomal RNA is filed under the name uncultured bacterium. RNAcentral's name for it is "partial 16S ribosomal RNA". It matches the Rfam family "Bacterial small subunit ribosomal RNA", at positions 523 to 796 of the family's 1533-position model. The record is from RNAcentral.
AUACGGAGGGUGCAAGCGUUAAUCGGAAUUACUGGGCGUAAAGCGCGCGUAGGCGGUUUGGUCAGUCGGAUGUGAAAGCCCUGGGCUCAACCUGGGAAUGGCAUUCGAUACUGCCUGACUAGAGUAUGGUAGAGGGAAGUGGAAUUUCCGGUGUAGCGGUGAAAUGCGUAGAUAUCGGAAGGAACACCAGUGGCGAAGGCGACUUCCUGGGCCAAUACUGACGCUGAGGUGCGAAAGCGUGGGGAGCAAACAGGAUUAGAAACCCGAGUAGUCC